GGUUGCGAUCAUACCAGCACUAACGCACCGGAUCCCAUCAGAACUCCGCAGUUAAGCGUGCUUGGGCGACAGUAGUACUAGGAUGGGUGACCCCCUGGGAAGUCCUCGUGUUGCAACCC
This 119-nucleotide ribosomal RNA is filed under the name Helianthus annuus (common sunflower). Lineage: Eukaryota; Viridiplantae; Streptophyta; Magnoliopsida; Asterales; Asteraceae. The record is from RNAcentral.